CGCCGCGUGAGGGAUGACGGCCUUCGGGUUGUAAACCUCUUUCAGCAGGGAAGAAGCGAGAGUGACGGUACCUGCAGAAGANGCGCCGGCAUAACUACGUGCCAGCAGCCGCGGUAAUACGUUAGGGCGCAAGCGUUUGUCCGGAAUUAUUGGGCGUAAAGAGCUUCGUAGGCGGCUUUGUCGCGUCGGUUUGUGAAAGCCCCGGGGCNUNAACCCCCGGGUUUUGCAGUUCGAAUACGGGCAGGCUNAGANUUUCGGUAGGGGGANAAUCGGAAAUUCNUGGUUGUAGCCGGUUGAANNUGCGCAGANUAUCANGGANGGAAACACCCGGUGGCCGAANGGCGGAAUUUUUGGGCCCGAAUACUUGAACGCUUGANGGANCCGAAAUCCGUUGGGGGANCCGAAACAGGGAAUNAGANUACCCCNUGGUUAGUUCCAANGGG
Molecule: ribosomal RNA, 443 nt
Filed under: uncultured bacterium
Lineage: Bacteria
Description: partial 16S ribosomal RNA
Rfam family: Bacterial small subunit ribosomal RNA
Source: RNAcentral